UACGGAGACUGCGAGCGUUACUCGGAUUCACUGGGCGUAAAGGGUGCGCAGGCGGCUAAUUGUGUCAGGUGUGAAAUCCCGGGCUUAACUCCGGAACUGCGCCUGAAACUGAUUGGCUAGAGGCUCGGAGAGGUAAGCGGAAUUCCAGGUGUAGCAGUGAAAUGCGUAGAUAUCUGGAGGAACACCAAAGGCGAAGGCAGCUUACUGGAAGAGUUCUGACGCUCAGGCACGAAAGCGUGGGUAGCGAAAGGG
This 252-nucleotide ribosomal RNA is filed under the name uncultured bacterium. RNAcentral's name for it is "partial 16S ribosomal RNA". It matches the Rfam family "Bacterial small subunit ribosomal RNA", at positions 524 to 776 of the family's 1533-position model. The record is from RNAcentral.